UACGGGGGGGGCAAGCGUUAUUCGGAAUUACUGGGCGUAAAGGGCUCGUAGGUGGCCAACUAAGUCAGACGUGAAAUCCCUCGGCUUAACCGGGGAACUGCGUCGGAUACUGGAUGGCUUGAAUUCGGGAGAGGGAUGCAGAAUUCCAGGUGUAGCGGUGAAAUGCGUAGAUAUCUGGAGGAAUACCGGUGGCGAAGGCGGCAUCCUGGACCGACAUUGACGCUGAGGAGCGAAAGCUAGGGGAGCAAACGGG
RNAcentral lists this ribosomal RNA (253 nucleotides) under uncultured bacterium. RNAcentral describes it as "partial 16S ribosomal RNA". It matches the Rfam family "Bacterial small subunit ribosomal RNA", at positions 524 to 776 of the family's 1533-position model. The record is from RNAcentral.